GACAGAGGAUGCAAGCGUUAUCCGGAAUGAUUGGGCGUAAAGCGUCUGUAGGUGGCUUUUUAAGUCUGCCGUCAAAUCCCAGGGCUUAACCCUGGACAGGCGGUGGAAACUACCAAGCUGGAGUACGGUAGGGGCAGGGGGAAUUUCCGGUGGAGCGGUGAAAUGCAUUGAGAUCGGAAAGAACACCAACGGCGAAAGCACUCUGCUGGCCGACACUGACACUGAGAGACGAAAGCUAGGGGAGCAAAUGG
Molecule: ribosomal RNA, 251 nt
Filed under: uncultured bacterium
Lineage: Bacteria
Description: partial 16S ribosomal RNA
Rfam family: Bacterial small subunit ribosomal RNA
Source: RNAcentral